RNAcentral lists this long non-coding RNA (1012 nucleotides) under Macaca mulatta (Rhesus monkey). Its description in RNAcentral is "lncRNA (ENSMMUG00000050093.1)". The record is from RNAcentral. Lineage: Eukaryota; Metazoa; Chordata; Mammalia; Primates; Cercopithecidae.
GUUGGCCAGGCUGGUCUCAAAUUCCUGACCUCAAGUGAUCGCCUGCCUCGGCCUCCCGAAGUGCUGGGAUUACAGGCGUGAGCCACUGCGGCCGGCCAAAAGUCCUUUUUUGAUUACUCGGUCUACAAUGUGGAAAAUGCACUAGAGGGGCAAGUUGACAGGAGCCAACUGGGGGAAGACUGAAUUAGGGUGAUGAUGGCUGAAAUGGAAAGAGGUGGAUAGACUUGAGAAAUACUGCAGAAGUAAAAAUCAACAAGGCCUGUUGAUGAAUUGCAUCUAGGGGUUGAGGAUGUACCAAGGAUGACAUAGUCAGAAGCCUUAUAAUGAUGUGUUAAUACAGUGUAAAAUAAACCCUUAGUUUGAGCUUCCCUCCCCUCUCCUACCAUCUUUUCCUAUUGUGAUAUCUCUCUUCUUUCUUUCCAGAAUAAAGAAACAUCAGAAAUAUAAAAACCAGGACCAAAAGGAGGCCCAGGGCCAGCAGGUCACCUCACUGAGGAUCAUUCUAUCCGCAAGCUAAUUCAGAACAGCCUGAAGCAUGUUUCGUCAUGAGCUAGAGCUUCUGCCGGGAUGAGGAGGGAGGAUUCAGCUCUGGUUUUCGGUACCGAACUGAACUGAGGGAAAAGCUCAAUUAAACAAUCCUGCUGAUUCAGAAUGACAAGGGAAUGAGCUCUCUGAAUUAUCUAAUGCUUCUGCCCAUGUUUGUUGAAUAAAUGAAUAUAUGGAACGUUAAAACAUAAAGCAAGAUGGGCACUGCGGCUCAUACCUAUAAUCCCAGCACUUUGGGAAGCUGAAGAAUGUAGAUCAUUUGAGCCCGGGAGUUCAAGACCAGCCUGGGCAACAUAGUGAAACCUUUGUCUCUGGGAAAAAUAGAAAAAAUUAGCCAGGUGUGGUGACCCGUGCCUGUAGUUCCAGCUACUCAGGAGACUGAGGUGGGAAGAUCACUUGAGCCUCAGACGUUGAGACUAUAGUGAGCCAUAAUUGCACACUGCACUCCAGCCUGGGAGAUAAAGAA